This 775-nucleotide ribosomal RNA is filed under the name uncultured Neocallimastigales. Its description in RNAcentral is "partial large subunit ribosomal RNA". It matches the Rfam family "Eukaryotic large subunit ribosomal RNA", at positions 20 to 643 of the family's 3401-position model. The record is from RNAcentral. Lineage: Eukaryota; Fungi; Neocallimastigomycota; Neocallimastigomycetes; Neocallimastigales.
UACUAGAGUAGCACUCGCAUAUCAAUAAGCGGAGGAAAAGAAACUAACAAGGAUUCCCUUAGUAACGGCGAGUGAAGCGGGAAGAGCUCAAAUUUGAAAUCUUCAAGGUUCUACCUUGACGAAUUGUAGUUUAUAGAAGUGUUUUCUGUUAGUAGAGUGGCAAAAGUUCUUUGGAAUAGGACAUCAUAGAGGGUGAGAAUCCCGUAUUUGGUCAUUCCUCCUAGCUUUGUGAUACACUUUCAACGAGUCGGAUUGUUUGGGAAUGCAGUCCAAAAUGGGUGGUAAAUUUCAUCUAAAGCUAAAUAUUGGCGAGAGACCGAUAGCGAACAAGUACCGUGAGGGAAAGAUGAAAAGAACUUUGAAAAGAGAGUUAAACAGUACGUGAAAUUGUCAAAAGGGAAGCGUUUGACACCAGUGUUGUUUUUCCGAAAAUCAAUUACUGAAUGUUUUGUUUUUGAGAAGUUAUGACUUCAUCGGCUUGCUUCUCUCUUUACGAAACUUUCUUAAUGCACUUUUCGGUUAACAAGUCAACAUCAAUUUCUUUUGUUGUAAAAGGGUAUGAGGAAGGUGGCUUUCUUUUCGGAGAAAGUGUUUAUAGCCUUGUACCUCUGCAAUCGGAGAGAUUGAGGUCUGCAGCGUAGAUCCUUCGGGGUUAGAUACAUUUGUGCUAAGUUAUAGCUUUUCAUAGACAACUUGUUGACUAUGUUUAGUCUUGUAGCUUACUCGCUUAUGCUAUUUUACCUACGCUUAGGAUGUUGAAGAUGUAGCACAUCAU